RNAcentral lists this ribosomal RNA (504 nucleotides) under uncultured bacterium. RNAcentral describes it as "partial 16S ribosomal RNA". It matches the Rfam family "Bacterial small subunit ribosomal RNA", at positions 28 to 523 of the family's 1533-position model. The record is from RNAcentral.
GAUGAACGCUGGCGGCGUGCCUAAAACAUGCAAGUCGUGCGGCAGCAUGCCCUUCGGGGUGAUGGCGAGCGGCGGACGGGUGAGUAAUGAAUAGGAACGUACCUAUGGGUGGGGGAUAACCAAGGGAAACUUUGGCUAAUACCGCAUAAGAUCGCAAGAUGAAAGGAGGCGUCGGGCAACCGAGCUUUCACCGAUAGAGCGGCCUAUUUCCCAUUAGCUAGUUGGCGGGGUAAGAGCCCACCAAGGCAACGAUGGGUAGCUGGUCUGAGAGGACGAUCAGCCACACUGGAACUGAGACACGGUCCAGACUCCUACGGGAGGCAGCAGUGGGGAAUCUUGCACAAUGGGCGAAAGCCUGAUGCAGCAACGCCGCGUGAGUGAAGAAGGCCUUUGGGUUGUAAAGCUCUUUCGGUUGGGAAGAAGGGAAUAUGGGCUAAUACCUCAUAUUUUUGACGGUACCAGCAUAAGAAGCACCGGCUAAUUCCGUGCCAGCCGCCGCGGUAA